This 460-nucleotide ribosomal RNA is filed under the name uncultured bacterium. RNAcentral's name for it is "partial 16S ribosomal RNA". It matches the Rfam family "Bacterial small subunit ribosomal RNA", at positions 338 to 795 of the family's 1533-position model. The record is from RNAcentral.
CCUACGGGAGGCAGCAGUGAGGAAUAUUGGUCAAUGGGCGUAAGCCUGAACCAGCCAAGUCGCGUGAGGGAUGAAGGUUCUAUGUAUCGUAAACCUCUUUUAUCAGGGAAUAAAGUGUGGGACGUGUCCUGUUUUGUAUGUACCUUAUGAAUAAGGAUCGGCUAACUCCGUGCCAGCAGCCGCGGUAAUACGGAGGAUCCGAGCGUUAUCCGGAUUUAUUGGGUUUAAAGGGUGCGUAGGCGGCCUUUUAAGUCAGCGGUGAAAGGCUGGGGCUCAACCAUAGAAUUGCCGUUGAAACUGGGAGGCUGGAGUAUGUGUGAGGCAGGCGGAAUGCGUGGUGUAGCGGUGAAAUGCUUAGAUAUCACGCAGAACCCCGAUUGCGAAGGCAGCCUGCCAAGCCAUGACUGACGCUGAGGCACGAAAGCGUGGGGAUCAAACAGGAUUAGAUACCCCUGUAGUC